This 241-nucleotide ribosomal RNA is filed under the name uncultured Actinomycetales bacterium. Its description in RNAcentral is "partial 16S ribosomal RNA". It matches the Rfam family "Bacterial small subunit ribosomal RNA", at positions 89 to 334 of the family's 1533-position model. Lineage: Bacteria; Bacillati; Actinomycetota; Actinomycetes; Actinomycetales. The record is from RNAcentral.
ACUCGAGUGGCGAACGGGUGAGUAACACGUGGGUGAUCUGCCCUGCACUUCGGGAUAAGCCUGGGAAACUGGGUCUAAUACCGAAUAGGAGCCAUUUUUAGUGUGAUGGUUGGAAAGUUUUUCGGUGUAGGAUGAGCUCGCGGCCUAUCAGCUUGUUGGUGGGGUAGUGGCCUACCAAGGCGGCGACGGGUAGCCGGCCUGAGAGGGUGGACGGCCACAUUGGGACUGAGAUACGGCCCAG